AUAGCGAUGCCGAAAAGCUAAAAAAGAGUAGGCA
Non-coding RNA from Winogradskyella psychrotolerans RS-3, 34 nucleotides. The record is from Rfam. NCBI's taxonomy places the organism in Bacteria, Pseudomonadati, Bacteroidota, Flavobacteriia, Flavobacteriales, Flavobacteriaceae.